CCUACGGGGGGCAGCAGUGAGGAAUAUUGGUCAAUGGACGAGAGUCUGAACCAGCCAAGUAGCGUGAAGGAUGACUGCCCUAUGGGUUGUAAACUUCUUUUAUAUGGGAAUAAAAUGUUCCACGUGUGGGAUUUUGUAUGUACCAUAUGAAUAAGGAUAGGCUAACUCCGUGCCAGCAGCCGCGGUAAUACGGAGGAUCCGAGCGUUAUCCGGAUUUAUUGGGUUUAAAGGGAGCGUAGGUGGAUUGUUAAGUCAGUUGUGAAAGUUUGCGGCUCAACCGUAAAAUUGCAGUUGAAACUGGCAGUCUUGAGUACAGUAGAGGUGGGCGGAAUUCGUGGUGUAGCGGUGAAAUGCUUAGAUAUCACGAAGAACUCCGAUUGCGAAGGCAGUUCACUGGACUGCAACUGACACUGAGGCUCGAAAGUGUGGGUAUCAAACAGGAUUAGAUACCCUAGUAGUC
RNAcentral lists this ribosomal RNA (460 nucleotides) under uncultured bacterium. RNAcentral describes it as "partial 16S ribosomal RNA". It matches the Rfam family "Bacterial small subunit ribosomal RNA", at positions 338 to 795 of the family's 1533-position model. The record is from RNAcentral.